Molecule: ribosomal RNA, 485 nt
Filed under: uncultured bacterium
Lineage: Bacteria
Description: partial 16S ribosomal RNA
Rfam family: Bacterial small subunit ribosomal RNA
Source: RNAcentral
UUGAACGCUGGCGGCAUGCCUUACCCAUGCCAGUCGAACGGCAGCACGGGUGCUUGCACCUGGUGGCGAGUGGCGAACGGGUGAGUAAUACAUCGGAACAUGUCCUGUAGUGGGGGAUAGCCCGGCGAAAGCCGGAUUAAUACCGCAUACGAUCUACGGAUGAAAGCGGGGGACCUUCGGGCCUCGCGCUAUAGGGUUGGCCGAUGGCUGAUUAGCUAGUUGGUGGGGUAAAGGCCUACCAAGGCGACGAUCAGUAGCUGGUCUGAGAGGACGACCAGCCACACUGGGACUGAGACACGGCCCAGACUCCUACGGGAGGCAGCAGUGGGGAAUUUUGGACAAUGGGCGAAAGCCUGAUCCAGCAAUGCCGCGUGUGUGAAGAAGGCCUUCGGGUUGUAAAGCACUUUUGUCCGGAAAGAAAUCCUUGGCCCUAAUACGGUCGGGGGAUGACGGUACCGGAAGAAUAAGCACCGGCUAACUACGUG